GCUCUUGUAGCUCAGCUGGUUAGAGCGUUGUGCUUAUAGUCUUCAACUAUACCUGAGGCACGCAAAGGUCGCGAGUUCGAUCCUCGCCUAGAGCA
This 95-nucleotide transfer RNA is filed under the name Blakeslea trispora. Its description in RNAcentral is "tRNA-Ile". It matches the Rfam family "tRNA". Rfam says of the family: Transfer RNA (tRNA) molecules are approximately 80 nucleotides in length. RNAcentral also lists the same sequence under 1 other name. The record is from RNAcentral. Lineage: Eukaryota; Fungi; Mucoromycota; Mucoromycetes; Mucorales; Choanephoraceae.